Non-coding RNA from Cinara cedri, 1276 nucleotides. The record is from the annotation of a GenBank genome assembly. NCBI's taxonomy places the organism in Eukaryota, Metazoa, Arthropoda, Insecta, Hemiptera, Aphididae.
CUUGGUUAUUCUUUAUUUCGUUAUAUUAUGAAUGCAUACCUAUGUAACCCCUUUUCAGGUUUUACGUCUUCCAGCAUGGUUCUAACUCCCGAAUUUACAAUUAUAAAUAAAAUAUUCUUAUUAUUACUUAGUUUAAUUAUUUUGCUUAAUAUUAUUUGAAUGAAAAUCCUACGACUCCGACCUCGGUCUCGGUCAUAGGUCGGUUAUUCACUCACAAUAAUCGAAUGAUGCUCAACUCCCUCACGACGGUUGCCACCCCAACAUCGUUUGGUAAGUGAAUUUUCUGUGAGACCCACCGAGAUCUUAGGAUAGGUAGAGACAGGGAGGACGAGACGUCACAAUCCCUGUAAAACCAUCGCUCCACUUAUCAUCUAAAAUACAAUUAAAAUAUCUUGUUGCGUUCGGAUUUGCACAAAUAGAGGGGAAAUUAAUUUUGCUGUUACCAAAGAUAGAGAGUUAUUAAAUUUAAAGAAGGUAAUUUUAGAAAUAGAUCUAAAUCCCUCCUUAAGAGUUUGUUCAAGCCAUUUUUAGACAUAAGGAUUAAGGUUGUUAUAAAAUGAGUAUCGUAUACAUUCGAAUGGGGUCAGACCAUCAUACACAUAUUAGGCAGCUGCCCGCAUUAAACAGUAGCCACAUUAAGCAGAAUCCACUGAAUUCCUUUUAUUACUUUUUAUAGGCAAGCUAGAAAACGAUGGGUUAGGAAGUAAGUUUAUUUUUAUUAAUAAUCAAUAAUGUCCUCAAAAGAAAGUUGAUUUAUGAAGAUAUAUAGUUGAUACGCCGUUAUUACCGUACAAGGUUAGCUAUAGUACAAGAUUAUAUGAUAAAUAUGAGGUAGCCAUUUCCCUAUUAUAUUUGCUCUCUAGUUGUCAUUAGUGGACAAGCUUUGAAUGUAUAAUAUACAUAAAAUAACGGAAAAUUAGGUAUAAUGAUUAAUGAUUUCCCUAUUUAAGUCUAUUGAAUAGAGUCAGAUUUACACAUUUAAUAGGUUUCGGUUUUCUGAAUAUAAUGAUAUAAAUUAAAUUUAAACUAUGCUAUUCACGUGCUUGAAACAAUUUUAUUUUAAAUUAAUUGUUUUCUGUAACAUACAUAAUCAUAUAAGAGAUACAAAUAUUGCUUGUUUCUUUUCUUUUUUUAACAAAUAAUAUUUCACUUAUGAAUAUAAAAUUUUAUUCGGAAAGAUAUUAUAUCGUAAAACAUUUUUUUCGUUUAUAAACUUUAUUAAUAUACAUGAUAUUUUUUUUUUAUUUUUCGUGUAAUAUAGAUUUAGUUUACAGAG